Molecule: ribosomal RNA, 397 nt
Filed under: 'Elaeagnus angustifolia' witches'-broom phytoplasma
Lineage: Bacteria; Bacillati; Mycoplasmatota; Mollicutes; Acholeplasmatales; Acholeplasmataceae
Description: bacterial SSU rRNA
Rfam family: Bacterial small subunit ribosomal RNA
Source: RNAcentral
AACCCUUAUCUUAUUUUACUAAAAUAAUCUUAGAACUAAUAAGAAACUGCCUAUGAUAAAUUGGAGGAAGGUGGGGACGACGUCAAGUCAUCAUGGCCCUUAUGGGUAGGGCUACACACGUGCUACAAUGAGUAAAACAAAAAGUUGUGCUAUACGGUAACGUAAUGCUAAUCUUUAAAAUUACUCUUAGUUCGGAUUGGAAUCUGUAACUCGAUUCCAUGAAGUUGGAAUCGCUAGUAAUCGUAAAUCAGAAUGUUACGGUGAAUACGUUCUCGAGCCUUGUACACACCGCCCGUCACACCAUGGAAGUAAAUUGUAUCAGAAAUAAUUUAAUUAUUAUAACGGUAUGAUUUGUAACUGGGGUGAAGUCGUAACAAGGUAGCUGUAGGGGAACCUG